This 839-nucleotide ribosomal RNA is filed under the name Brachybacterium paraconglomeratum. RNAcentral's name for it is "bacterial SSU rRNA". It matches the Rfam family "Bacterial small subunit ribosomal RNA", at positions 45 to 896 of the family's 1533-position model. Lineage: Bacteria; Bacillati; Actinomycetota; Actinomycetes; Micrococcales; Dermabacteraceae. The record is from RNAcentral.
UGCUUACACAUGCAAGUCGAACGAUGACGGUGGUGCUUGCACCGCCUGAUUAGUGGCGAACGGGUGAGUAACACGUGAGUAACCUGCCCCCCACUUCGGGAUAACCUCGGGAAAUCGUGGCUAAUACCGGAUAUGAGCACUCAUCGCAUGGUGGGUGUUGGAAAGAUUUAUCGGUGGGGGAUGGACUCGCGGCCUAUCAGUUUGUUGGUGAGGUGAUGGCUCACCAAGACGAUGACGGGUAGCCGGCCUGAGAGGGCGACCGGCCACACUGGGACUGAGACACGGCCCAGACUCCUACGGGAGGCAGCAGUGGGGAAUAUUGCACAAUGGGCGAAAGCCUGAUGCAGCGACGCCGCGUGGGGGAUGACGGCCUUCGGGUUGUAAACCCCUUUCAGUAGGGAAGAAGCGAGAGUGACGGUACCUGCAGAAGAAGCGCCGGCUAACUACGUGCCAGCAGCCGCGGUAAUACGUAGGGCGCAAGCGUUGUCCGGAAUUAUUGGGCGUAAAGAGCUUGGAGGUGGCUUGUCGCGUCUGCCGUGAAAACCCGAGGCUCAACCUCGGGCGUGCGGUGGGUACGGGCAGGCUAGAGUGUGGUAGGGGAGACUGGAACUCCUGGUGUAGCGGUGAAAUGCGCAGAUAUCAGGAAGAACACCGAUGGCGAAGGCAGGUCUCUGGGCCAUUACUGACACUGAGAAGCGAAAGCAUGGGUAGCGAACAGGAUUAGAUACCCUGGUAGUCCAUGCCGUAAACGUUGGGCACUAGUGUGGGGGACAUUCCACGUUUUCCGCGCCGUAGCUAACGCAUUAAGUGCCCCGCCUGGGGAGUACGGCGCAAGGCUA